RNAcentral lists this non-coding RNA (76 nucleotides) under bovine gut metagenome. RNAcentral describes it as "aspS RNA". It matches the Rfam family "aspS RNA". The record is from RNAcentral.
GCGCACGCCGUCUACGUGCGCGCGACGUCUGCUGGAAUUCCGCCCGUACCGACACGGGGCGGCAACGACGAGAGGA